AGUGAAAUCGAGUAGGACGGGACACGUGAUAUCCUGUCUGAACAUGGGGGGACCAUCCUCCAAGGCUAAAUACUCCUGACUGACCGAUAGUGAACCAGUACCGUGAGGGAAAGGCGAAAAGAACCCCUGUGAGGGGAGUGAAAUAGAACCUGAAACCGUGUACGUACAAGCAGUAGGAGCCCUUCGGGGUGACUGCGUACCUUUUGUAUAAUGGGUCAGCGACUUAAUUUUAGUAGCAAGGUUAACCGUUUAGGGGAGCCGUAGGGAAACCGAGUCUUAACUGGGCGUUCAGUUGCUAGGAUUAGACCCGAAACCAGGUGAUCUAGCCAUGGGCAGGUUGAAGGUGAGGUAACACUUACUGGAGGACCGAACCGACUAAUGUUGAAAAAUUAGCGGAUGACUUGUGGCUAGGGGUGAAAGGCCAAUCAAACCUGGAGAUAGCUGGUUCUCCCCGAAAGCUAUUUAGGUAGCGCCUCGGACGAAUACUACUGGGGGUAGAGCACUGUUAAGGCUAGGGGGUCAUCCCGACUUACCAACCCUUUGCAAACUCCGAAUACCAGUAAGUACUAUCCGGGAGACACACGGCGGGUGCUAACGUCCGUCGUGGAGAGGGAAACAACCCAGACCGCCAGCUAAGGUCCCAAAGUUAUAGCUAAGUGGGAAACGAUGUGGGAAGGCUCAGACAGCCAGGAUGUUGGCUUAGAAGCAGCCAUCAUUUAAAGAAAGCGUAAUAGCUCACUGGUCGAGUCGGCCUGCGCGGAAGAUUUAACGGGGCUAAGCUAUACACCGAAGCUGCGGCAAUGC
This 804-nucleotide ribosomal RNA is filed under the name Photobacterium rosenbergii. Its description in RNAcentral is "bacterial LSU rRNA". It matches the Rfam family "Bacterial large subunit ribosomal RNA", at positions 401 to 1211 of the family's 2925-position model. Lineage: Bacteria; Pseudomonadati; Pseudomonadota; Gammaproteobacteria; Vibrionales; Vibrionaceae. The record is from RNAcentral.